GACGAACGCUGGCGGCGUGCUUAACACAUGCAAGUCGAACGGAAAGGCCCUGCUUUUGUGGGGUGCUCGAGUGGCGAACGGGUGAGUAACACGUGAGUAACCUGCCCCUGACUUUGGGAUAACUUCAGGAAACUGGGGCUAAUACCGGAUAGGAGCUCCUGCUGCAUGGUGGGGGUUGGAAAGUUUCGGCGGUUGGGGAUGGACUCGCGGCUUAUCAGCUUGUUGGUGGGGUAGUGGCUUACCAAGGCUUUGACGGGUAGCCGGCCUGAGAGGGUGACCGGCCACAUUGGGACUAAGGGACGGCCCAGACUCCAACGGGAGGCAGCAGUGGGGAAUAUUGCACAAUGAGCGGAAGCCUGAUGCAGCAACGCCGGGUGCGGGAUGACGGCCUUCGGGGUGUAAACCGCUUUCGCCUGAGACGAAGCGUGAGUGACGGUAAUGGGUAAAGAAGCACCGGCUAACUACGUG
This 468-nucleotide ribosomal RNA is filed under the name uncultured bacterium. RNAcentral describes it as "partial 16S ribosomal RNA". It matches the Rfam family "Bacterial small subunit ribosomal RNA", at positions 28 to 507 of the family's 1533-position model. The record is from RNAcentral.